Molecule: ribosomal RNA, 467 nt
Filed under: uncultured Aeromonadaceae bacterium
Lineage: Bacteria; Pseudomonadati; Pseudomonadota; Gammaproteobacteria; Aeromonadales; Aeromonadaceae
Description: bacterial SSU rRNA
Rfam family: Bacterial small subunit ribosomal RNA
Source: RNAcentral
UGCCUACGGGGGGCAGCAGUGGGGAAUAUUGCACAAUGGGGGAAACCCUGAUGCAGCCAUGCCGCGUGUGUGAAGAAGGCCUUCGGGUUGUAAAGCACUUUCAGCGAGGAGGAAAGGUUGGCAGCUAAUACCUGUCAGCUGUGACGUUCCUCGCAGAAGAAGCACCGGCUAACUCCGUGCCAGCAGCCGCGGUACUACGGAGGGUGCAAGCGUUAAUCGGAAUUACUGGGCGUAAAGCGCACGCAGGCGGUUGGAUAAGUUAGAUGGGAAAGGCCCGGGCUCAACCUGGGAAUUGCAUUUAAAACUGUCCAGCUAGAGUCUUGUAGAGGGGGGUAGAAUUCCAGGUGUAGCGGUGAAAUGCGUAGAGAUCUGGAGGAAUACCGGUGGCGAAGGCGGCCCCCUGGACAAAGACUGACGCUCAGGUGCGAAAGCGUGGGGAGCAAACAGGAUUAGAUACCCCAGUAGUC